ACGAACGCUGGCGGCGUGCUUAACACAUGCAAGUCGAACGGAAAGGCCCCUUUGGGGGUACUCGAGUGGCGAACGGGUGAGUAACACGUGAGUAACCUGCCCUUGACUUCGGGAUAACUUCAGGAAACUGGGGCUAAUACCGGAUAGGAAUCCUUGCUGCAUGGUGGGGGUUGGAAAGCUUCGGCGGUUUUGGAUGGACUCGCGGCUUAUCAGCUUGUUGGUGGGGUAGUGGCUUACCAAGGCUUUGACGGGUAGCCGGCCUGAGAGGGCGACCGGCCACAUUGGGACUGAGAUACGGCCCAGACUCCUACGGGAGGCAGCAGUGGGGAAUAUUGCACAAUGGGCGGAAGCCUGAUGCAGCAACGCCGCGGGCGGGAUGACGGCCUUCGGGUUGGAAACCGCUUUCAGCAGGGGCGAAGCUUGUGGUGACGGUACCUGCAGAAGAAGCACCGGCUAACUACGUG
This 464-nucleotide ribosomal RNA is filed under the name uncultured bacterium. Its description in RNAcentral is "partial 16S ribosomal RNA". It matches the Rfam family "Bacterial small subunit ribosomal RNA", at positions 29 to 507 of the family's 1533-position model. The record is from RNAcentral.